AUUGAACGCUGGCGGCAGGCCUAACACAUGCAAGUCGAGCGGUAGAGAGAAGCUUGCUUCUCUUUAGAGCGGCGGACGGGUGAGUAAUGCCUAGGAAUCUGCCUGGUAGUGUGGGAUAACGUUCGGAAACGGACGCUAAUACCGCAUACGUCCUACGGGAGAAAGCAGGGGACCUUCGGGCCUUGCGCUAUCAGAUGAGCCUAGGUCGGAUUAGCUAGUUGGUGGGGUAAUGGCUCACCAAGGCGACGAUCCGUAACUGGUCUGAGAGGAUGAUCAGUCACACUGGAACUGAGACACGGUCCAGACUCCUACGGGAGGCAGCAGUGGGGAAUAUUGGACAAUGGGCGAAAGCCUGAUCCAGCCAUGCCGCGUGUGUGAAGAAGGUCUUCGGAUUGUAAAGCACUUUAAGUUGGGAGGAAGGGCAGUAAAUUAAUACUUUGCUGUUUUGACGUUACCGACAGAAUAAGCACCGGCUAACUCUGUG
Molecule: ribosomal RNA, 484 nt
Filed under: uncultured bacterium
Lineage: Bacteria
Description: partial 16S ribosomal RNA
Rfam family: Bacterial small subunit ribosomal RNA
Source: RNAcentral